AGCAGCCUCCCGUUGGCCAAAGCGAAGAGUCCCCGCCUGGGCGCUCCUCCCGCCGCCCCCCCGGGGGCCCAUAAAAGCCCCGAGGCAGAGGCAGGGCAGCUUUCCCAGCCCCUGAGCUUGCAAAGGUGACCCAGGGACAGAUCUCAAAACAAACGCAUCUCAGAGAAGGAUCAAAACCUGUCUCUUUUCUGAGGGAUCCGUACACACAGAGAUCUUUGAAGAAUAAAGAAUUUAGGCACAGUUCUCAUGACUUGCUGAUGAAGGUGUAUUUGGCAAGAGCUUUACAUCUGCAGCUUUACAUAACCUGAUAAAGUGCAACACAGGUACGAGCCCAGAGCUGAGAGCAGACAGCAGCACACAGGGGCACUGUGCUGGAUGGGAAACAAAUACCAACUGGGUGAGGACUACACCUAAAAACCUCAGCCGAGUGCCUGAGUCUCACUGCAAGGCAAACUAUGCUGAAGACAGAAAUCAACUGACACGUUCAGUCUGGAGGAAUCCCCCGGGGUACCAGCAGAAUGCAUUACCAGUGCAUUUCUCCAGUGAGAUAUGAUGGGAAGAGCACAGAGCAAAAAAGAAGCAGAGAGAAGAUGAAGAAACAAUCUCUCGAAGGAUACAGCCUGACAGUAAUACCGCCAUCUGACUAAAAAGAACUCAGACAUACGCAUAAUCCUCAGGAAAAUUCAUCUCCACCCUCCCAGCAGACCCUGGUGAGAGCCCUUGAAGUGGUAAUUAAAGUCUAUUGAGUGGCAACUGCACCUGUUUAGAAAGGAGAGUGUGGGUAAGAGGUGCACAAAGGGAGAUGAGCAGCAGAGAGGGAGUGUGAGCGAGGAGCUGCUGGAGGUGGGGAAGAAGGGAAGCGGAAAGAAGAAAAGGUAUAUUUGUUGGCGAAGCCAAUCCAAUACGAUGCGUAUUUCACAUUCUUCCCUUCAUUUGCUUUCUGCCUGCUCUCCUGCACCCCUUCACGCACACAGCCGGCUUCUACCCCACUCUCACACCCACUGAUGGAAACUCCAGGGGGCUUUCCCCGGCUAGCCCGGGCCCUGGACCAGCAGCUGCUCAUCUGGUGUAAAUCAACAGAGUUCCACUGAAGUCCUGGUGGAGUUACGAUCAGCUAGCGCUCAUUUACGCCAGCUGAAGAUCUGUCCCAGUGACACUCAUUAACAGUCACUGGGCUCCUCAGCCCGGCAGCUGGGACAUGCCAGUUCUUGUCUGCUGGGUUGUCUUUCUCCCUAGAAUAGAGCACAUCCCUUUGUGCGGGCUUUGUCGCCCCGGUGUAAAUCCUACAGCAUCUGGGAUGAAUAAAUCAGAGAUGUUUCUGGAUUUCAGCAGACAUGUCUGAGAGCAGAGUCUAGGCAGAAACUGAGUGAAAUGGAGGAACCCAGAGCAGUGCUUGCAGGCAGGCAAUGCCAUGCCUAUCAAUAGGACUGCUAGUUUUGCAUCCACAUGAGGCUCCAAAAGCUUUGAGCCAGUGUCACAAUCAGAUAGAUGUUCCUAGGUACUACGUGUGAGGCCGUGCAAAACGGGCUUACUCAUAAAUACUGGCAGUAAUUGUGGAUUCUGACAUAGCCUUGCAGACUACUGCUGACCCAAGGACCACAGCUGGGGAGCCACUGGUGUGUCCAGUGAAUUGUCACUUGGUGGGGAGACCUGGAGGCCAAAAUCUGUGAUACUGUGGCAGUGGCAGCUCUGCCAGCUUCAAUAGACCAGUGCUGACUUGUGUCACCAGGUAAUUGCGUACUGGUUUGCUAAUGGCACAAACCAGCAGAUUAAGUGGUGAAACAAUGGGGAAAAGAAAGACAUAAAAAGUGGCAGGGGGAAAUCCUCCAGUGUUUGAGAUGGAGACCAUGAAAAGGGGGACAUUCUUUGGUACGGACAUCUGGACUGCCUUAGUGACCAAGGAGCCAAAGACCAGCACUGCAGAGUGAUGUAGAUGCAUGGCCCAAGGAAUUUGUCAUCCUGAGACCCGUGGAUUGAGAGCAGAAAUCCUAACUCUUUCUGCCAUAAUCUCAAUUUCAUUUUUGAUGCCAGUAAUCUGGGCAUUUCAGAUGAGGCCAUAAAGAUUUAGUGCAUCACCUUUGCCUAAUUAGUCAAAGGCUCUGCCAGUAGUGUUUUGUAGUAGCAUGCAAUCAUCCCUUACGCUCUACCUAUGCACACACACUACUGAAGCCUACUCAUUUAACUCCCUUUAUCCAACCCCAAAAUGGUUUUCUUUCUGUGUUACUCUACAUUUGCAAAGAUUCUGCAGUAAUACAAGCUCUCCCUUGUCACGGCAAUUCUAUAUGUGCCCCAGCAAUCAACUGAACAAAACUAGGUUUCCUGGGGUGAGAACAGAAGAGGAAAGAGGUUUAUCCUCAGAGCACCCUGAGGCUGAGCUGCGCAAAGGAUUCAGGCAGAAUAAUUUGACCGGUGUUUGCAAAAUUUUCGCUCUCGCUGGACUUGAUGGCAAGCAGUCCCCUGUGAAUCCCUGACCUUCAUACUCUGCAGGCUGCCUGGGAUGGCUGAAAUAAACCACGGGACUUUGUCUUGAUCCCCGAUUGUCAGAGUACACAUCAAUUCUGGUGCAAAGUUGUUGCAUCUGCUUUCUACAAAUAUUAGCAACGACUCUGUAGCACGCAGUCCUGAUAGCCGUACCGGGAAAUGCAUCCUUGUGAAUGAAGACAGAAAGGAAAAUGCAUUCAGCAAAAGCCAAUUCCUCUGGCUGUUAAGGGUGGGAUUUGCAAUUUGUUGGAGAGAUGAUCCGAGCUGCUCACUUAAAUUCAGCUACAGUUAACAGAGACAGACAGGUAUGUCUGGACAACAAGUCAACCAACCAGUCAAGCCCUGUCUUUGAGUGAGAUUAAUUUUUGUACUGAUUACAAGGGUGCCUACAUGACUCACUUAACACAAAAUGCCUAACUGCUAUCAGGCUAGAGUUACAUGAGAGGAAUCAUACCUAAAAUACCUCACUUGCAUGUCUCCUAAACUCUAGUCUUGUCCAUUAACAAAAUCACUGGGUACAUUGUCAUGAGACACAUUGCCUCAUUUCUAUAUUUUUUUCUCCCAGAUACUCUUCUCUAUUCUUUUUUUUUUUCCUUUCAGCCCUCCUGUUCCUCAGCCUUUUUCUUUUUUUUCCACCCUCCCUCUGAUUGCCGAGUAGCUUCUUGACUUUUCCAUCAAUAAGUCUAAAGAGCAUUUGAACCAUUCUGUUCCCCCCUUCUCUCCUCCCUCCAGUUCCAAGUCAGGCAAGCGCAUCGAUCAGAGGAGCUCAAGAAAUAUCUGGUGUUUUGUUGUCAGGAUGAUAAUAACAUUGCAGUUGUGAAUGGGCUGCUGCAGGCCUGAUCAUGGACACCUGCAGGGUUUGUUUAAUUGCAUUUAAUGACAAAUCCUAUACAGAGGAGCAUUGCCAGAGAGAUUUAUUAUCCACCAAAGAGGCAAAGCACAACAGCUCAAAAUAUAAUUUGCACUGAGCAUUUUUUCCCCUGCCUCUCUUUAAACCAUUGUAAUAAAUAACAAAUCGGGUAAAGUGGGCAACACUAGUCUGAGACAGAGGUGGGGGGCAGAGGACAGAGAUUGAAACCAAAGGAAAUAACAGCAAUAAGGCCACACUGUUCUUUCUACCAUCCCUGUGGUCUGGUGUAUAGGAAAUACUGUUUGUUUAAUUUACAGCCUAGAAGUGCAGCUGGGGAUCUCUCUGUGAUGAGCCAGCCUCUUCUCAGAUAGCCGGAGGCUAAGCUCUUGAGUCCCUAUUCUUUCUAAGCAGGCUUUUUUUUCACCGUGUUCUGUAGCUAAGUUUAGAUCUUAUCUGUAAAAUCAAUUACAAAGAAACUACGGUGGCUUCUCAGCACUAUGGGUGUCACCUGCCACAAUUACAAGGAGGCAUGAGCUUCCACGCUGUUGAAAUCUCUGGGACAAACUACAAGUGGCAGAUCCCAUCCUGCAAAAUACCACUUUGAGAAAUACGGCCCUACGCAGACAGAUCACUCUACCUGAAGUCUAGACGAAAGUCUCACACACCUCUGAGGCUGAACGGAAUUUAUGUUUCCUACUAAAUGCCACGCUCCUGGAAGGGAAUUCAUAUGUGUAUAAAGAGCAGAGGACCUCGUUCCCUUGCUCAAGCCGUAAACAGUCACUUCUCUCUUGAUUAUUACGUGCUUGUUUAGUGACAACUUGUGGCAAAUCCCUUCCCCAGUGUGGUAUAUCACUGUGCUAGGCAGAGUGCAGUUCCAGAACAACCAUAAAGUAUUGUCACCUGAAUUGGUGCAGCUGGACUAGGUGAUCUUUGAACGUGCCCUUAAACUGAACUAUUCUAUUCCAUUCCAUUCCAUUCUAUUCUGUUCUGUUCUGUUCUGUUCUGUCCUGUCCUGUCCUGUCCUGCCCUGUCCUAUUAUUAUAGUCCUUCCCCAACCAUUUUCUCUCUCAGGUUCGUAAGUCAUCUUUAUUAUUCGCUCUCUCAUCUAAUUACCCUUGGCAGAAUACUGAAUUGCCCUGGCAGCUUAUUUCUAAAACUUGUCUCUCCUCCCCCCUCACCUGCUCCCCAAGCAUUUUCAUCAAUACACUUUGUGGUAUGGCAGAGAAUAAGCUACAGUUUAGAAGAAAUGCCUUAAUUUAGGAAAUCCCAGCACAGGCCAGGAACAGGCAUGCAUCAGAGUAACGUUGUAUUCAGUGUGAGCAAGGGGUGCGUGUUCACUGGUGUUCUCCUUUAUGUUCAGAUUAAAUUUUGCACUUUAAAUGGUGCAAACCAGGAGGUCUAGGGAUGAUGGUGAGCUCGUACCAGAAAAUAUCACCCAGGAUUGUCCCUUCUGCAGUGUUUGGUCUCUAUUUUAAUGCAGGCAGCAGUCGGCAGUUGGCAAUGUCAUUACACAAACACGGUGUAGGGUAACACCUGGACUGCAGUUUUAUCUGAUUUCCUGGACAAUGGCAGUAUCGCUAAUACCCCCUGUUAAAUAAGACCACCUGGACAUCUCCUGGUAUCAGCUCCAGCUAUCACAAACACACUUGCUACCUAGGCUAGCACAAAGGAUUGUUAUCUCUUGAGCAGCGCAAAUCCCCAGAUUGAAACCACCCAUCUGGAGUUUGAUUAAAGUGUCCAUAGAAAGCACAUAUGUUUAAAAAAAAAAAGAGAGAGGGGGGAGAGGGAGGGAGAGGCUGGACUGUGCUCUGUGAGCUUGCACAGGGCACAACCUCUGCCAGCACCAGCAAACUCUCGCCUUUUGCUGAAAAUUUCUUUCUCCUGCUAUGAAAGAAGCCUUUCACCAAAGCAGCUCCGCAGAGCAGAGGCUGUUGAAGGAUACUUUUGUUUCUUUUCCUUUUUUACAACUGCUCACAAAAGUACAUUUAACAGGCUUGAUUUGGCGACAGGGAGGAUUCUGUCCCUUGUCUGACUCCACCGGCUGAGGUAAGUCUGCCUCGCUCAGACAACGGCGGUCAAAAGGAAUAAUGCGAGAUCCUUUACUUGGAUGUGAGCCAGCAUUGUCCUUUCACGUGUUAUUCAUGAAAUAUGCAAGGUAUUAACAGCAGAAAGCUGGGUAGUGGAAGCAAAGCUAAACCUGGGGUGAAAUAAAGAUUGCUCUUCGACAAAUUCAGAGGAAAGGAAACGGCAAAAGGGUUUUGUUUUUUCUUGCUGAGAUCAGUCUCUCAGUAGGAUCGCAGGAAACCCAGCACUAUUAUUAUCUUAUCUUUUUCUUUGCUGCCUGAUUCCUUUUCUCUAGCAUUCCCAAGUAUAUAUUACGUUUACUUAUUUCAGUCAGACCAAGAUACAACUGAGAGAUAGGCAGGUUGGCAGAGCACUCCAGGAGAAGUUUAUCACAGGGUAUGGAAAAAGAAGAUCCUGCUGAGUCUUGAUAUCCUUGAGAAAAAAAAAAAAAAUCCAAAUUUUUAUAGUCAUCUAUAGUCUUCUGAGUGGGAAAAUGGAGCAGAAAGUCACAGGUACAGUCACAAAAUUGGAUAGACGAUUAUAGUGAGAUUUGACAUGGUCUCGCAAAGAGCAAUAUUUUUCUUUUUCGCACUGUCUAACAUGCCUACCAUCCAUCCCUGAAAUGAGAACCAAGUGUUGAAAGAAUGAGAACAAGUGAGGAAGGAUAACAGAAGAAGAAAUGAAGGAGGACGUCCCCAAGGAGGAGGUGCUGCUCUCAGUGGUCUGGCUCUGUGUGGAAGACUAGUGAUUUUGUUGUUCUGACUUAUAAAGGUGACAACAAAUCAUAGCCUGCCAUACAGUGCAGAUCUUCACCCUCGCUGGUGUGAGAGAUUGCUGACGGGACGCACUGGGACACAGAGCUGGUCCAGCUGCCCACCGAGAGCCCUCUCUGGGAUACAGCUGCUCCACACCUGAAAGCUAAGUACGUAUUGAAGUGCUUUGGCAUACUGGAGGUCAUAUCAGUCCCUGAGCCAGAGACUGUGACUUAUUCUGCUCCUCAGCUCUCAUCCCCUUGAAGUUAUCCAAAUCUGGGCUCUGGGUGAAGCAACAGGAGGAGUGUCUGUGAAGAAGCAAGCUCUGUAGGCUCAUCCUGCAGCCAUGAGCAGCUCUCUCUAAGCAUGCCACUCACCUACUUUUACUUUAAAGCAAUUUCCCAUUGAAAACAACUAUUAUUAUCUUCAUAUUGUGGAUCAAGGAACAUUAAGUGUCUCACUCAAAGACUCCACAGCAAUUCUGUGGCAAAGUUAGGGCUUGAACCUCAGCUGCUGAAGUCUGCUGGGCACUUAGAAAUCCUGCUUGUUUUGAAAGUCUAGCUUGCUGCUUCCAACAGGGUUUUAAAAACCGGAACGGGUGAAUUUUCAAUACCACCCAGAGCCUCUAUUCUCAGAGAUAUUUAGGUGUGAAAAUGAAAUUCCUGAAUCCUGCUGAGGCCAGUGGUAAAGGUAAGUACUGAAAUGUCUUUAAUAAUUUGGGUUGGUGCUGCUGUAGAGCAUUUUCUUUGUGUGCUCAGCAUUGCACACUUGUCAUUGUUAUUACCCACAGAAAGGGUACAGAGAGGACAGAGCCAGUCUCUUCCCAGUGGUGCCCAGUGCCAGAAAAAGAGAUGCUGGGCACAAACUGAAAUGCAGGAGGUUCUGACUGAACAUCAGGAAGCAGUUCUGUACAGUGAGGAUGACCGAGCACUGGAGCAGGUUGCCCAGAGAAGUUGUAGUCUCCAUCCAUGGAGAUACUCAAAAGCCAUCCAGACAUGGCCCUGGGCAACCAGCUUUAGGUGUCCCUAUGACAAUUCUAUGAUUCUGUGAUUACUGCCUAUGUGAUUUAGGAACUUAAGUCCUUUUGGCUUUUCCUUCAACUAAGCCAUUUAGGUUGAAAACAGAAACACAUCUGGAAAGUCAGCCGUAGAGCUAGUGCAGUACAGCACCAGAGCAAAUGUCUGCAAGACGAAGACAGCCACUGACCUCCAAAUCCAUCUGCUUUGUGGUUCAUGAACGUGCUUUACAGUCCUCACAGCCAGGUUCUGCCAGAAGGUCCAAAUCUGAUGAGGUCUUUACAGUCCUCGCAGCCAGAGGUCCAAAUGUGAUGCUCUUGCUACCUUGCCAUUUGCCUCAGCCUUUCAUUCUUUCAGCUUGAAAGAAAGAGGGUCCAGAUCCAAAGACACUAUUGUUACUAUCAUCUUAGAUAAUCUGUGAGGUAGGAGCAGUGCAAUACUUAUCCCAGGAAAUUUAUUGCUAAAGGAAUUUAACAGCUGUACAAAUUGCUACCCAUUGACGAUGCAUGAAAGAAAAGACCCACGUAUCAUAAGCAUGAGCGACACGCUCUCCCUCUCUUUUACUCCCCCACUGAUAUAUUAAAGCUACAAAAAUUCAGAGGGCAGCAGUGCAACCAUUAAUGUUGAAAUUGCCAGGCUGGUGUCUAAUGUAAAUGAAACUCCAUUGAUUUAGUGUUACUCAACAUACCUCUCCUGCCUGUUCAUCUUCUGCAGUCUGAUCAAAAUCCUUCCUUCCAGGUAGCAAUGGCCUCGUGCCCUAUAUAAGCACAGAAAAUAAUGUCAUCACAAGCCUUAAUGAUGAAGGUAGUUACAGGACAAAAGCCCCUGCGGCAAGUUGGGUAUUGGGUCAUUGUUCCUGCUAAUGUCAUGGUGCCAUUUCUCACUAUUUUUAGAGUUGUUCUCUUUGUACAGCAAAUUUCUCAUGUAGUUACUUAAAAAUACAGAAGAUUUUGUCUUCACUGGA
Molecule: long non-coding RNA, 8127 nt
Organism: Anas platyrhynchos (mallard)
Lineage: Eukaryota; Metazoa; Chordata; Aves; Anseriformes; Anatidae
Source: RefSeq, a predicted model, not a curated record